Molecule: ribosomal RNA, 229 nt
Filed under: uncultured bacterium
Lineage: Bacteria
Description: partial 16S ribosomal RNA
Rfam family: Bacterial small subunit ribosomal RNA
Source: RNAcentral
UCCGUAGGUGGAUAAAUAAGUCAGAGGUGAAAUCCUGCAGCUCAACUGUAGAACUGCCUUUGAUACUGUUUAUCUUGAGUCAUUAUGAAGUGGUUAGAAUGUGUAGUGUAGCGGUGAAAUGCAUAGAUAUUACACAGAAUACCGAUUGCGAAGGCAGAUCACUAAUAAUGUACUGACACUGAGGGACGAAAGCGUGGGGAGCGAACAGGAUUAGAUACCCUGGUAGUCC